UGAAAUACCUAGUGGCGAACGGGUGAGUAACACGUGAGGAACCUGCCCCGAAGACCGGGAUAACUCUCCGAAAGGAGUGCUAAUACCGGAUACCCCCACCUAAUCGCAUGAUCUGGUGAGGAAAUGGAUUCCGCUUCGGGAGGGCCUCGCGGCCUAUCAGCUUGUUGGUGAGGUAACGGCUCACCAAGGCAUCGACGGGUAGCUGGUCUGAGAGGACGAUCAGCCACACUGGGACUGAGACACGGCCCAGACUCCUACGGGAGGCAGCAGUGGGGAAUCUUGCGCAAUGGGCGAAAGCCUGACGCAGCAACGCCGCGUGGGGGAUGAAGGCUCUCGGGUUGUAAACCCCUUUCAGCAGGAACGAAUCAAGACGGUACCUGCAGAAGAAGCCCCGGCUAACUACGUGCCAGCAGCCGCGGUAACACGUAGGGGGCAAGCGUUGUCCGGAUUUAUUGGGCGUAAAGAGCUCGUAGGCGGCUAAGUAAGUCGGAUGUUAAAUCCCCAGGCUCAACCUGGGACACCACCCGAUACUGCUUUGGCUAGAGUCCGGUAGGGGAGCGUGGAAUCCCUGGUGUAGCGGUGAAAUGCGCAGAUAUCAGGAGGAACACCAGCGGCGAAGGCGGCGCUCUGGGCCGGAACUGACGCUGAGGAGCGAAAGCGUGGGUAGCAAACAGGAUUAGAUACCCUGGUAGUCCACGCCGUAAACGUUGGGCACUAAGUAGAGGGGUU
This 729-nucleotide ribosomal RNA is filed under the name uncultured Planctomycetota bacterium. RNAcentral describes it as "bacterial SSU rRNA". It matches the Rfam family "Bacterial small subunit ribosomal RNA", at positions 84 to 830 of the family's 1533-position model. The record is from RNAcentral. Lineage: Bacteria; Pseudomonadati; Planctomycetota.